GUCAGGAUGGCCGAGUGGUCUAAGGCGCCAGACUCAAGGCUCUGCCUUCCCCGCUGGGAUUUCUGGUCUCCCCCUGGAGGCGUGGGUUCGAAUCCCACUCCUGACA
This 106-nucleotide transfer RNA is filed under the name Meleagris gallopavo (turkey). It matches the Rfam family "tRNA". Rfam says of the family: Transfer RNA (tRNA) molecules are approximately 80 nucleotides in length. Lineage: Eukaryota; Metazoa; Chordata; Aves; Galliformes; Phasianidae. The record is from Rfam by way of RNAcentral.